RNAcentral lists this ribosomal RNA (467 nucleotides) under uncultured bacterium. RNAcentral describes it as "partial 16S ribosomal RNA". It matches the Rfam family "Bacterial small subunit ribosomal RNA", at positions 28 to 507 of the family's 1533-position model. The record is from RNAcentral.
GAUGAACGCUGACGGCAUGCUUAACACAUGCAAGUCGACCUGAAUUUGGGUUCUUUACUUCGGUUUGGGUGUCGGACGGGUGAGUAACGCGUAAAGAACUUGCCUCCCAGCUAGUGACAACAUUUGGAAACGCUUGCUAAUAUCUCAUAUUAUGAUAAUAGCUCCUCCUUUAGUUAUGAAAGCUAUAGGCGCUGUGAGAGAGCUUUGCGUCUCAUCAGCUAGUUGGUGAGGUAACGGCUCACCAAGGCGAGGAUGGGUAGCCGGCCUGAGAGGGUGAUCGGCCAAAAGGGAACUAGGAAAGGGCCAGUACUCCUACGGGGGGAAGCGGUGGGAAAAAUUGGAAAAGGGACCGAGAGUGUGAUACAGCAAUUCUGUGUGGAAGAAGAAGUUUUUGGGAAUGAAAAGUGUUUUCAGUUGAGAAGGAGCAAAUGACGGUACAAACAGAAGAAGUAACGGCUAAAUACGUG